This 253-nucleotide ribosomal RNA is filed under the name uncultured bacterium. RNAcentral describes it as "partial 16S ribosomal RNA". It matches the Rfam family "Bacterial small subunit ribosomal RNA", at positions 524 to 776 of the family's 1533-position model. The record is from RNAcentral.
UACAGAGGGUGCAAGCGUUAAUCGGAAUUACUGGGCGUAAAGCGCGCGUAGGUGGUUUGUUAAGUUGGAUGUGAAAUCCCCGGGCUCAACCUGGGAACUGCAUUCAAAACUGACAAGCUAGAGUAUGGUAGAGGGUGGUGGAAUUUCCUGUGUAGCGGUGAAAUGCGUAGAUAUAGGAAGGAACACCAGUGGCGAAGGCGACCACCAGGACUGAUACUGACACUGAGGUGCGAAAGCGUGGGGAGCAAACAGG